GCAUAUGGAGUUCCUAAGCUGGGGAUCAGAUCUGAGCUGCAGUUCCUACCAAUGCCACAGUUGCGGCAACUCAGGAUCCUUAACCCACUGGGCUGGGUCAGGGAUUGAACCUACCAGAGACGCUGCCAGUCCCAUUGUGUCACAGUGGGAACUCCCCAAUGAUUUAUGCUAUUUUCCAUAGAAUCACUGAAUCAUUUCAAAGUGCUUGACAGUUUUGUCAAGGGCAUUUUGUUUUUUUCCCCAGUGAAUGUUAUUCUAUUAAAAAAUUCAUUUCUAAAGCUUUAAGAGCAUUUAAGUGCUAUUCUGGGUUUAUCAAUAAAUUCUGCUGUGCUAUUCCUUCUGUAGUCCCUGUUCCUUGGAUGAGAAUCUCAAAACUUCUACAAUUUAGCACCAGUUUUCAAGAUGUGUAUUUUAUCAAAUCCUACAAUAAGCCAUCUCACCCCCUCCAGGCUGUCCACCACCACCUCCCAGUCUUGCUCUGUGUGCACCUAUCUUUGGACUCUCUCUCCUGCUGGCUCCUCAAAUUAAAAGGAAGGCCUUCAUUCCUGGAUCUUUGUCUUCCAAAUCCCAUCCAGUGUCAAGGAAUGUCAGGACGAAUGUCCCUGCCUUUCCUAGGGAACAAUUCUUGAUUGCUUAUCUGGAAGCUGAUCUGCUUUCUUUAAGUUCCAAGACAGUUGUUGUACCUUCUCUCUUAGGUUGUCUUAUUCCAAAAACUUGAGCAUGUUAAUUUCCCUCCUAUGCCUGAGUAUGUUCAUUUGUAAAAUGGGAGCUGAUAUUUGCUCACUGGGCUUUUGUGUUGCUCAAUGCGCCCAGCGUGUGUUGUCACAGGGUGAAAGCUGGUAGCUAUGAGGAUGUAGGUUUAUUGAGGGCAGAGGAAGAAGUCACUGUUUCUUAAGGUCUUCAGAGUAACUUGCUGAGGACAUCACCCACUGCAAGUGCUCCUGGGCCAAUACUCAGUCAAGCGUAUGUAGGUUUAGAAUGAUAAUGUAUGUGGCAUCAGGCAGCUUUUAGAAUAUUUUGGGUAGAGUUCUGUCUUUGUCUAGUUUUUGUUGGUAGCUUAGAUCCCUGAGAAUGGAAAUACAAGUGCAUGGCUGCUCCCAGUGUUGGUGAGCUUCAUGGACCUUGAGAAUGAAAUGCCAUACUUUUAUAUAGGAGAAAUAUACUCAAAACUCACAUUCUUAAAAGAGUUUCUGGGAACAUGCUGAAGAUCAAGUAGGUCUGUGCCUGGUCUCUUUUUGGAAACUUGCAUUCUCUAGAAAUGGAUACUGGCCCUGGACAUCAACAUGCAUCCCAGCUUGAUGACCUGGUCCUGGGAACGGUCAGCUUUGUUUUGUUUAAAUAGCUCCUGAUGGUUCUCCGUGGUGGUAAUAGUGAACUUUCAGGUCAAUAGAAACAUGGAUGCGCAAACAUGCAAUGCUCAAACCAGAUUAAGACUUAUCCUCAGCUUCACAGAUUCAGAUGCAAAAGACUGUUGAUGUUUAGGCACCGCUGAGGAAGUGCCCCAUCAGAUGCCAGAGCAGAACAAUGCCAUCUUUGUCAGGCAAGACAGUUUGGAGCUGAGAGUCAGAUACAGCCUGUAUCCAAUACCUCUGCUCGGGGUGAGUCCUGGGAGAUCCGCCAACCCCAUCUCUGAGCCUGGAGGUGGGACCAGGGAGCUGCAGGUGAAAUUUGUUGGUGCUCUGGUGCAGUCUAGAGGCUGCCUCCUCCUCCACCAACACUCAGCCCUUCUCUUGACUCCCACUGCUGCUCAGUUCUGAACUAGUUCUGAGGUAGUGAACUUUCCAGAAUAAUUUUCUUUGUAACUUAGGAAAUGGCUCCCGGACAACCUUGUAUUUUGUCCCAUAGUAAAUAUUUUGGCCCUUAGUAUUGUGAUAUUUUACUAGGAAAAGCAUACACAAUGAGUUAUCUUUCAAUUAAUAGUGGAAGAGAGUGAUAAGACUGAACUACACCAGUUGAAUUAAAAUGUUAUUAUUGUUUAAGCUUUUUGCUGCCUUAAUUAUGUUCUGCUUGGUUUAUUAUUAUGAUUAUUGUUAUUAUUAUUUUUUCCUGCGGUCCUACAUGCAUGUUUCAGGGAAGGUAGAGCUGGAUUCAGGUUAAGAGUAAGGUGCCAAUAACCCAUUGAGUCUGAUUGAGCUGUUCAUGGAUGAACUUGUAAGACAUAGGUGUGCACUUAUUUUCUACCAAAGAUGCUAAAUUUUCUUGGGGCUUUUUCUUCUGUAGAGGAGAAUGUAGUGCUUCUCAAGGAAUAUGUCACUUAUCUAGAAAGCACCUAACUCACAACUUGUCUAUUUGCUACAGGUUUAGUGCUGGUAGAAGAGAGGCAAGAAGGAUGUGGUUGGUGAGAGGACGCUGAGACAAGCAUGUGGAUGGUAAUGGAAUUUCACUUCUGCUAGCAAAGGAAUCAGUGAAGGUAUUAAAAGCAGCUAAGACUUAAAGCUAAACCAUCUUGGGCUAUUUAAUGUAAAGAUGGUAUAGCCUGGAUCUGAUAUUAGAAUCAUAGAAGCAGAGAUGGUAGGAUUCAAAUGUUCUCUGAAAAAGAUUAAACUAAGAGUAGACAUGAAGCUUUAAACUUCAAGCUCAUAUGAGACACUCAGCAAGAUAAAUGACAAAGUGGGUCAUAAAACAUGUUCUAACAAACUUAGAAUGAUAAAAAUCAUGCGAUGUCUGUUUUAGACCACGAUGAAAUUAAAGUAGAAAUGGUUAUCAGAAAGAUAGGUGGAAAAUCACAAAGUACUUGGAGAUUCAACAGCACAUUUCUAAAACACAUAGGUUAAAGCAGAAAUCUCAGGAGAAUUAAAAAAAUGUUUUGAACUAAAUGAAAAUGAAAAUACAACUUACAAAAUUAUGGGAUUCUAUGACACCAGUGCUCAUAGAGAAUGAGAAGGAAGAAAUAAAUUGUCUUUGUUUGCAGAUGACAUAAUUGUAUAUGUGGAAAAUCUGAAAGAAUCAAUAGAAAAACUUCUGAAACUAGUAAGUCAUUAUAGCAAGUUGCAGGAUGCGGGGUUAAUAGACAGAAAGCCAGUCACUCUCCUAUAUAACAGCAAUGAACAAGUGGGAUUUGAAAUGAAAAACACACCACUGUUUACAUUGUAACACUUCCCAAAAUGAAACACCCAGGUUUAAAUCUAACAAAAUAUAUAUGAGGAAAACUGCAAAACUCUGAUGAAAGAUAGCAAAGAUGAACUAAAUAAUUGGCCAAGUAUUCCAUGUUCAUGGAUGGGAAGACACAAUAUUGUCCAAGAUGUUAGUUCUCCCCAAACUGAACUACAGAUUCGAUGUAAUUCCAAUCAAAACCCUAGCAAGUUAUUUUGUGGCUACUGAAAGGCUGAUUCUCAAGUUUAUAUGAAGAAAAAAAGCCUCAAAUAGCCAACUUAAUAGUGGAGGAGAAUAGCAAAAUUGGAGGACUGACUGACACUUCCCAACCUCGAGACUUACUACAAAGCUACAGUAAUUAAGACAGUGUGGUAUUGGUGAAAGACCAGACAAAUGUAUCAAUGCGACAGAAGAGGGAGGCCAGAAAUAAACCCACAUAAAAUGGUCAACUGAUCUUUGACAAAGGCAUAAAGGCAGUAAAAUGGAGCAAAGAUAGUUAUUUUAAUAAAUGGUGCUGGGAAAAACUGUGCACUCAUAUACCAAAAAAAAAAAAAAAAAAAAAAAUCUAGAUAGAGACCUUACACCCUUCACAAAGGUUAACUCAAAAUAGAUCAUAGAUUUAGAUGUAAAAUGCAAAACUCUAAAACUCUUAGAAGAGAAAUAUGAGAAAGCCUAGAUGGGUAUGGGUACAGCGAUGGCUUUAAAUACGAAUAAAUACCAAAGACCUGUUUCAUGGAGGAAAGAAUUGAGAAGAUGUUCUUCAUUAAAAUUAAAAAUUUCUGCUCUUCAAAAGACAUCACCAACAGAAUGAGAAGACAGAUCACAGACUUGGAGAAAAUAUUUGCAAAAAAUUCAUCUGAUAAAGGGCUGAUAUCCAAAAUACACAAAGAGGAGUUCCCAUCAUGGCUCAGUGGAAAUGAAUCUGACUAGCAUCCAGGAGGACACAAGUUUGAUCCCCGGCAUUGCUCACUGGGUUAAGGAUCCAGCAUUGCCAUGAGCUGUGGUGUAGGUCGCCGACGUGGCUCAGAUCUGGCAUUGCUGUGGCUGUGGUGUCAGCCGGCGGCUACAGCUCUGAUUAGACCCCUAGCCUGGGAACCUCCAUAUGCUGUGGGUGUGGCCCUAAAAAAAAAAAAGACAAAAUACAUAAAGAACUCUUGAAACUUAACAAUAAGAAAAAAACCUGAUUAAAAAAUGGGCAAAGACCUGAACAGACACCUCAUCAAAAAAUAAAUACAGAUUCAAAUAAGCAUAUGAAAAGAUAUUCCAUGUCAUAUGUCAUCAGGGAAAUGCAAAUGAACCCCCAUUAGAAUGACCAAAAUCGAAAACGGUGACAACACCAAAUGCUGGCAAGAAUGUGGAGCAACAGGAAUUAUCAUCCACUGUUGGUGGGAACAUAAAGUGGUACAGCCAUUUGGAAGACAGGUUGGCAGUUUCUUACAAAACUAAACAUAGUUUUAUCACAUGGUCCAUCAGUUACCUUCCUGGCAUCUACCCAAGUGAAAAAAAGACUGUUAUGUCUUUACAAAAAACCUGCCCACAAAUAUUUACAGCAGCUUUAUUUAUCAUUGUCAAAACUUGGAAGCAACCAAGAUGUCCUACUGUACGUGAAUGGGUAAAUAAACUGUGGUACAUUAGACAGUGGAAUGUUACUCAGCAGUAAAAAAAAAUGACCCAUCAAGCCAUGAAAUGAUGUGGAGGAACUUAAGCAUACAUUACUAAAUGAAAGUUAAUCUGAAAACGUUAUAUACUGUAUGAUUCCAACUAUGCGACAUUGCGAAAAAGGCAAAACUAUGGAGACAGUAAAAAGAUCAGUGGUUGCCAAGGUUUAGGGGAGGAAGAAAGAUUUUCAGGGCAUUGAAAUGAUUCUGUGUGAUAACCAUGGUGGAUACACAUCAUUUUACAUUCUACAUUUGUCAAAACUCACAGAAUGUACUAAGAGGGAAGAUUUAUGUGAACUGUGGACUUUGGGUGAUAAUGAUAAAUCAGUGAGGGUUCCUUGAUUGUAACGAGAUAACCAUGCUGGCUGGGGGUGCUGAUAAUGCAAGUGUGGGGACCAGGCUGGGGGGGGGCGGGGACUCUGUAUUUUUCACUCAGUUUUUCCUUGCACCUAAAACUUCUCUAAGAAAAUAAGGUUUAUUAAAAAAAAAAAACCUUAAGAAAAUUUUCAAACAUUUUCCCCUCAAAUGAAUUACCACCCACCCACACCCACACACACACCCACACACACAAAAUAUAAAGCCAGGAAUUGUAUCUCACAGUCCAUUUUGUUUAUGAUUGUGAAUAGCUCUAGGUUGAUUACUAGAAAAAAAACUGGUUGAAAAUGUUUGGUGGAACACAAAUAGUCAAAGAAACAAAUUGAAAAUUAGGAGUUCCCAUCGUGGCUCAGCAGUCAGGAACACGACUAGUAUCCAGGAGGAUGGGAGUUUGAUUCCUGGCUUCUCUCAGUGGAUUAAGGAUCCAGAGUUGCUAUGAGCUGUGGUGUAGAUUGCAGAUGUGGCUCAAAUCUGCUGUGGCUCUGGCAUAGGCUGGCAGCUGCAGCUCUGAUUGGACCCCUAGCCUGGGAACUUCCAUAUGCUGCAGGUAUG
RNAcentral lists this long non-coding RNA (5678 nucleotides) under Sus scrofa (pig). RNAcentral describes it as "lncRNA (ENSSSCG00000058324.1)". The record is from RNAcentral. Lineage: Eukaryota; Metazoa; Chordata; Mammalia; Artiodactyla; Suidae.